AUGAAUAUCCUAAGCUGGAACCGCCGAGGGGCGGGGAAUACUCAGACAGUUCGUGAUCUUGUGAGUCUGGUUCAGGCUCAAUCCCUUAGUAUCGUUUUUCUUUGUGAAACUAGGCAAUCAAAAAAUAAAAUGCAGAGGUACCGUGCUCGGUUAGGGUUAAGAGGUUUUGAUGCUUUCGAUUGUGCCGGUCGUAGUGGAGGCCUUGCUUUGUAUUGGCAUGAGUCUGCGAGUCUUGAUGUAAAAGAAAUGGACCUGACUAACUUCCACAUGUCCGGAGGAUUGCAACACAUCCGGAUGGUUUCAAAAAGUAACAGGAGUGAGUGUGGUGUGCGAGCCAAUUCCUAA
This 345-nucleotide ribosomal RNA is filed under the name Triticum aestivum (bread wheat). RNAcentral's name for it is "partial small subunit ribosomal RNA". Lineage: Eukaryota; Viridiplantae; Streptophyta; Magnoliopsida; Poales; Poaceae. The record is from RNAcentral.